Molecule: transfer RNA, 72 nt
Filed under: Camelus bactrianus (Bactrian camel)
Lineage: Eukaryota; Metazoa; Chordata; Mammalia; Artiodactyla; Camelidae
Also listed under: 1 other name
Rfam family: tRNA
About the family: Transfer RNA (tRNA) molecules are approximately 80 nucleotides in length. Their secondary structure includes four short double-helical elements and three loops (D, anti-codon, and T loops).
Source: Rfam by way of RNAcentral
GGUUAUAUAGUUCAGUGGUAGAGCGCGUGCUUAGCAUGCAUGAGGCCCUGGGCUCAAUCCCCAUUACCUCCA